This is an RNA transcript of Cuculus canorus (common cuckoo), 3262 nucleotides long. It is a transcript of the gene named caspase-1, with no coding region annotated. NCBI's taxonomy places the organism in Eukaryota, Metazoa, Chordata, Aves, Cuculiformes, Cuculidae. The record is from RefSeq and is a predicted model, not a curated record. The transcript is spliced from 9 exons.
GGUUCCUCUACUGCCACCCUGGUCUUCCAAUUCCCAUGCUGGUCCUCCCAUACUCAUCCUGAGGCUCCCAUUCCCAUGCUGGUCCUCCCAUUCCCACCCUGAGCCUCCCAUUCCCAGGCUGUUCUCGCCCUGCCCCGUGAAGCAGGGGUGCUACAAAAACAGCCACCGGGUUCCCCCAUCGAUGUUCCAGCCUGGAUCUCUGGCCAAGCGUACAAGGUUCAACGUGGCCGAUUGCUGGGUACAACGCUUGGGCCACAACAGCCCCGUGGAGCUCCAGGCUUGAGGAAGAGCAGCUGGAAAGCUGCCUGGUGGAAAAGGACAUGGAGGUGUUGGUUGACAGUGGCCGAAUGUGAGCCAGCAGUGGCCUGGGUGGCCAAGAAGGCCAAUGGCAUCUUGGCUUGGAUCAGAAACAGCAUGGCCGGCAGGACCAGGGCAGGGAUUGUGCCCCUGGACUUGGCAUUGCGCAGCAGUAGUAAACUUUGCCAUUUCUUCCACGGGGCUGAGAGGCAAUGGCGGAGGAGCUGCUCCUGAAGGUGCGGAAGUCCUUCGUGGAGCGCGUGAGCAGGGCGGUGAUCUUGGAGCUGCUGGACGACCUGCUGCAGCACCGGGUGCUGAACCUCGAGGAGGUGGACGAGGUGCGCGCUGAACACAAGGUGCGCGCCGACAAGGCCCGCUGCCUCAUCGACAGCGUACGCCGCAAGGGCUCCAAGGCCAGCAGGAUCUUCAUCACCAGCCUCAGGAAUCAUGACAGCACCUUGGCAGAGGAGCUGGGUCUGCCUGAUGACAUGGGGCCCCCGGGUGCGCAGCUGGCCUCCCCUUACCCGAAGGUCCCCCCUGAGCCCCGCGCCAGCUCCCAGGGCCAGCAGUGGAUCCAGCAGUGCUGCCCGGGCGAGUACCAGCGCUUCAGGGAGACACAGGCAGAUCAGAUCUAUCCCAUCCAUCUACCCCAGGAGACACGAACACGCAGGGCCCUGCUUAUCUGCAACAUUGAGUUUGAGCACCUAAGCCGGCGCAGUGGGGCUGAAGUGGAUGUGGAGGGCAUGACGAAGCUGCUGGAAGGGCUGGGCUACAUGGUGGACAUCCAUCUCAACUUAACUUCUCAGGAGAUGGCUACGGUCAUGAAGGAUUUUGCCAAUUGCAAAGAGCACCUCACCUCUGACAGCACCUUCCUGGUCUUCAUGUCCCACGGGGUCAGGGCUGGGCUAUGCGGGACGAAGAGCAGAGACGAGACCACAGACAUCCUUUCCCUCGACACCAUCUACAAAGAAUUUAAUAACAAGCACUGCCAGGCGCUGCUGGGCAAACCCAAAGUCGUCAUUAUUCAGGCCUGCCGUGGAGGCCGCGUAGGAUCCGUGAUGGUGAGUGACUCCGCAGACCCUGCCAUGCCCGCUCCCAGCUCCGCUCCCACAAUCCCUGCAGGGCUGGAAGAUGAUGCAGUCUGUGAAGUCCACCUGGAGAGUGAUUUCGCCACUUUACAUUCCUCCACACCUGAUACUGUCUCCUGGAGAAGCUCAGUAACCGGCUCCAUUUUCAUCCAGCGCCUGAUAGAGCAGUUUCGAAACCAUGCCUGGAACAACGACGUACAGGAGCUCUUCCAAAAGGUGCGGCUUUGUAGUUCACUGCAGGUGUUGAGAGCACAAUGUCAGGCAGGAGAGGCCCCUCAGGAGCAGGCUCUGUCAAAAAGGGGUCUGCCCGUGUAAUCAGCACUGGUGAACCCACACCUUGAAUCCUGGGUUCAGUUUUGGGCCCCUCACUACAAGAAAGAUAUUGAGGGUCUGGAGUGCGUCCAGAGAAGGGAACAGAGCUGGGAAGGGGCUGGAGAACAAGGGUUAUGAGGAGCAGCUGAGGGAGCUGGGGUUGUUUAGCCUGGAGAAGAGGAGGCUGAGGGGACACCUUAUCACUGUCUACAACUGCCUGAAAGGAGGUUGUGGUGAGGUGGGUGUUAGUCUCUUCGCCCAAGUGACAGGUGAUAGGACAAGAGGGAACGACCUCAAGCUGCGUCAGGGCAGGUUUAGAUUGGACACUAGGAAAAAUUUCUUCACCAAAAGGGUUCUCAGGCACCGGCAGAGGCUGCCCAGGGAGGUGGUUGAGUCCCCAUCAUCAGAGGGGUUUUAAAAGACAGGUAGAUAAAGUGCUUAGUGAUAUGACUUAGUAGUGAUGGGUGCGGUUGGAACUGAUGAUCUUAAGGGACUUGUCCAACCUAGUGAUUCUAUGAUUCAGCCUAGAGAGUCAGCUGGAUCUCUGGAGGCAUCAGUACCCUGCCACACGGUGGGCAUGCAGGAGCCCGGCAUGCUGGCACAGCCCAUGGCAACCCUUGUGCUACCAGACACACACCUGGGGAAGCCCCUGAGGAUACUUUCUGGUUGCCUGCAUGCUGGGAACAGAGCUGCUGUCAUUUCUCUCCACUCUCUCUCACCCCAGGUCCAACGUUCCUUUCAAAAAUUCCCUCGGCAGUUGCCAGCACAAGAACGGGUUACAAUGCUUCGCAAGUUCUAUCUCUUUCCAGGAUGCUGAUCUCCUGCCCACAGCAAAACCAUAAUAGACGUACACAAAAAGCAUUUGGAUUUGGAGGUCACACAGCAGAAUGCUCAAGCUCAAGGUGAGAGAGAAGAGGAAAAGCCCAGAGCAGCUUGUCAGAAGCUAUCUCCAGCCCAGCCCAGCCCCUUGUGACCCUCUGCUAGGCCACUUCAAACUGACUGAAUAAAACAGUCUUUGGUCUCCUUUCCUCCUUGCCUUUUGUGGCCUCCAAACAACCACAGGCUGAGUGAGCUCUUGGCAGGGAGCAGCCAAGACACCUGGCUCUGAGGCAGCACAUGCAAAGCUGGGCAGCGUCUCUCUCUUAGCUAUCCCCGGCCAGAGCCUGUCCCCACUGCGACAUGAUCUGUCACCCCCACAGUCGCUUUGCUCCAUCUCUGGCUUUGUCCCCCAUCUCAUGAAGGGAUUUUCAUGGCAGAGGCCCCCACUCUGCCUGCAGCCUCUGUGGGUCCUCACAGCCCACAGGAGCUGCUGCAGGGACCCCAUGGAGGAGGGGAUGCUGGGGGCAUUUCCAUGCCUUCCCCAGGCAGGAUUGCAGCAUCUCCUACUCAGGACACAGCUUCCUCUCCACUCAACCCUCUGUCUGCCCCGGAGUCUGCAGGAAUGACAGGACUUCCUCUGGGAGCCAGGAAAGAUCUCCAAAGCUGUGUCCUGCUGCACUGCCUCCAUAGCUCAUACGGGCCCAGCCCUUUCCCACCACCCUCCCCAUCAUGGAAUCACGGAAUCA